This is a non-coding RNA of Astyanax mexicanus (Mexican tetra), 1156 nucleotides long. Lineage: Eukaryota; Metazoa; Chordata; Actinopteri; Characiformes; Acestrorhamphidae. The record is from the annotation of a RefSeq genome assembly.
AAUUGUAAAGGGUUUGACUCGAGAGCAGCACAGUAGGUGGUCUCUGGUUUUCCCCCUGUGGUGCUGUGAAGCGAUUCUCUGUGAAACCAGACCCUGUUCUUCCUGUAACUCUGUCCUCUGCACCUGCUCUCUUCAGCCAUGUGUGAUUUUCACCAUGAUUUACAUUAGCAGAAACAUGCUUCAGUGCUCUGGGAGUGUUUAUAGUCCUGUGAGUUUAACACUUCAUGACUGAGAGCUGCUACAGCAACUUCUUCACCCACAGCAGCCAUGACUUUAAUCCCCAUCUUCAUCUGGACCCUGAUCUUCUGCUCUCAAGAGUCCAUAGGUCAGGUGACUGUGACUCAGAGUCCUGCAGUGAAAUCUGCUCUUCCAGGAGACACCGUCACCAUCAGCUGCAGGACCAGUCCUGCAGUUUACAGUAACUCAAAUGGUCACUACUUACACUGGUAUCAGCAGAAACCUGGAGAAGCUCCUAAAUUCAUGAUUAAAUAUGUAAAUCAGCUUCAGUCUGGUUUUGCAGCUCGUUUCAGUGGUAGUGGAUCUGGAUCUGACUUCACUCUGACCAUCAGUGGAGUCCAGUCUGAAGAUGCAGCAGAUUAUUACUGUCAGAGUUAUCAUUAUAUCAGCAGCACCCACCUGUUCACACAGUGAUAUAACGCCGUACAAAAACCUCCGUCACUCAGUCCGGCUGCACAGAGACUGCACUGCUGCAGUGGGAUCUCCUGCAGGUGCUGAGUUGGAGGAAGUGAAACAGCACAAUCACACACUAACUUUAUACGUUGUGUUUUUUUUUUUUUUUUUUACAUUUUACUGUACAUCCUGUACACUACGCUACACACCCAACUUUAAAUGCAAUACAUGCACAGAUUUGUGUUUAGUUUUUGUCAUGUCUGCUGAUACCUGUUAUCUCCUAUACUUAAUUUAUUCUGUUACUGCACAUACUCCCUUAUAUCUACGACUGAUUACUUGCACACUUUGUAUAGUUUUUGUAUUUAUAUAUUUAUGUAUAUAUUUUUAAAUCUCAGUUUAAAAUUUUGUAGUCUAGGCUCUUAUAUUUCUUACCUUGCUCUCUUAUUAUACUACCCCUAUUGUUUGUUUCUACUGUGUUGUGUAACUGCUACUGGCUGCCAAAUUUUAAUCAAUCAAUAAUCCAUCC